CCUACGGGUGGCAGCAGUGAGGAAUAUUGGUCAAUGGGCGGAAGCCUGAACCAGCCAAGUAGCGUGCGGGAUGAAGGCCCUACGGGUCGUAAACCGCUUUUGCACGGGGAUAACACCCUCCACUUGUGGAGGUCUGCAGGUACCGUGCGAAUAAGGGCCGGCUAAUUCCGUGCCAGCAGCCGCGGUAAUAUGGAAGGCCCGAGCGUUAGCCGGAUUCAUUGGGCUAAAAGGGAGCGUAGGCGGGCGUUCAAGUCAGCUGUAAAAUCGCGCGGCUCAACCGCGCGCCGCAGUUGAAACUGGACGCGUUGAGUUCACAACAGGCAGGCGGAAUUCGUGGUGUAGCGGUGAAAUGCAUAGAUAGCACGAGGAACCCCGAUUGCGAAGGCAGCCUGCCGGGGUGCGACUGACGCUGAGGCUCGAAGGUGCGGGUAGCAAACAGGAUUAGAUACCCUUGUAGUC
RNAcentral lists this ribosomal RNA (459 nucleotides) under uncultured bacterium. RNAcentral's name for it is "partial 16S ribosomal RNA". It matches the Rfam family "Bacterial small subunit ribosomal RNA", at positions 338 to 795 of the family's 1533-position model. The record is from RNAcentral.